UACGUAGGGUGCAAGCGUUGUCCGGAAUUACUGGGCGUAAAGCGUGCGCAGGCGGUUUGCUAAGACAGGUGUGAAAUCCCCGGGCUUAACCUGGGAACUGCGCUUGUUACUGGCAAGCUGGAGUGUGGCAGAGGGGGGUGGAAUUCCACGUGUAGCAGUGAAAUGCGUAGAGAUGUGGAGGAACACCGAUGGCGAAGGCAGCCCCCUGGGCUAACACUGACGCUCAUGCACGAAAGCGUGGGGAGCAAACAGG
This 253-nucleotide ribosomal RNA is filed under the name uncultured bacterium. RNAcentral describes it as "partial 16S ribosomal RNA". It matches the Rfam family "Bacterial small subunit ribosomal RNA", at positions 524 to 776 of the family's 1533-position model. The record is from RNAcentral.